UUUUUCUGUCAUCCCUACUCCCUACACCUUACUUUCUUCACCCUGCACCUCCUAUUAUUUUAAUAUUUCCAACUUUAAUCCUGUUAAAAAGAAUAUUUUGAUUUUUUAAAAAAGGUGAACCAUCCAUUUACCCAUCCAUUCAUAAAAUAAAGCAAACCUUAUACCUUUUUCUCCACUCUCCGCAUUUUACAUUUCACAUUUCAAAAUCCUACACCCUUUUUCCUCCCCUUCUUAUUCUUGGUGUCGAAUUUCAUAUCUGACCUUAUACACCCCACCUUUGUUUCUCCUCUCUUCUAGCAAUCCUCUUUGGUUUCUAGUUUGGUGGUUGCUUUGUGGUAUUGUUGUUUGGUUGUGUGGUGUUGUUGUGGUAGUGAGCUGUAGCAUAGCAAUUGUUUUCUUCAAGCAUUGUGUCCAGGUUAGUUGUUGUUAUUUUUCUUUGCGCUGCUCGUGUAUAUAAUGCAUGAUAAUUGUUUGGUACGCUUACUGGUUCGGAUUGAUUUGGGUUGGGGUUGCUUGAUCUGGAUUGGGGAUGUUGGAUGGGUUAGGGAACGAGGAUACGAAGGACGCCACCACUGCUUGAUCUGGGUUGGGGUUGCUUGAUCUCAAGCAAUGGAAGACGAUAUUUGUUUGUCUUGUAUGUCGUAUCCAUUAAGAACACAAUAUUAAAUGAAUUAACCAGGUGCACUGAAUCGGGAUGUGUCCAAAAUAGGUCACUUACUACGUCAGAAUCAUCCAAACAUCUACUUCUCUGGAUAUAUUUGUCUCUAUCUAACAACAUCAUCAACUACUGCAUUUCGGUUCUCGACCCUCUCAAAGAUCGUUUGUUAGUGUAUCUCACGUUAUACAUUUGUUUUAUAGUCGUCACGUCAUUUUCAUUAUGUUCUUUAAGAGUCAAAAGAAUAUUUGAGAACUUAACUUGACUCUUAGUCAUGUCAACAAGAAUUGACUGUUCAGCAGCAUUUAACCUCCC
This 970-nucleotide long non-coding RNA is filed under the name Vigna radiata. RNAcentral describes it as "long non-coding RNA (VRAD_LNC012195)". Lineage: Eukaryota; Viridiplantae; Streptophyta; Magnoliopsida; Fabales; Fabaceae. The record is from RNAcentral.